Molecule: non-coding RNA, 156 nt
Filed under: bovine gut metagenome
Source: RNAcentral
CCUGUAAUGGGACUGCCAAGAGGGAAUCACGUGCAAAUCGUGAGCUGUCGCGCAACUGUAAACACGCUGCUGACGGGUGGAAAAAAACCAUUGGGGAGGUUGCCCCUGAGAAGGUUUCUGCCUCGAGGCGACAAGCCAGGAGACCUGCCCCGAACA